GACGAACGCUGGCGGCGUGCUUAACACAUGCAAGUCGAACGGAAAGGCCCUGCUUUUGUGGGGUGCUCGAGUGGCGAACGGGUGAGUAACACGUGAGUAACCUGCCCUUGACUUUGGGAUAACUUCAGGAAACUGGGGCUAAUACCGGAUAGGAGCUCCUGCUGCACGGUGGGGGUUGGAAAGUUUCGGCGGUUGGGGAUGGACUCGCGGCUUAUCAGCUUGUUGGUGGGGUAGUGGCUUACCAAGGCUUUGACGGGUAGCCGGCCUGAGAGGGUGACCGGCCACAAUGGGACUGAGAUACGGCCCAGACUCCUACGGGAGGCAGCAGUGGGGAAUAUUGCACAAUGGGCGGAAGCCUGAUACAGCAACGCCGCGUGCGGGAUGACGGCCUUCGGGUUGUAAACCGCUUUCGCCUGUGACGAAGCGUGAGUGACGGUAAUGGGUAAAGAAGCACCGGCUAACUACGUG
Molecule: ribosomal RNA, 468 nt
Filed under: uncultured bacterium
Lineage: Bacteria
Description: partial 16S ribosomal RNA
Rfam family: Bacterial small subunit ribosomal RNA
Source: RNAcentral